This 1478-nucleotide long non-coding RNA is filed under the name Callithrix jacchus (white-tufted-ear marmoset). Its description in RNAcentral is "lncRNA (ENSCJAG00000086486.1)". Lineage: Eukaryota; Metazoa; Chordata; Mammalia; Primates; Cebidae. The record is from RNAcentral.
GGGUUAGCACUGGCUCUCUUUCUUCUUCUAGCACCCACCCCUGCAGUUUUGACUCUGACUUCCCCAUCUUUAUCUUAUAUUAUCUGCUUUUAAAACUCAUUCGUUUGGUCUCGUGUUCCUGCUCUGAGGAUAUUUACAUGGAUUUUGGGAUCAUCUGCAUUAGAUGACAGGAGGCAGACCUUGUGAAGAGUGGUACUGGAGCCUCCAGGUCCUUGAUGACAGACAGAAGCUGAGAGGAGCCAUUCCACCAGCUGCCUUGUUUAUGUGCACAUCUAUGGAGGGCUUGCUCUGCACGGGACACCUUGCUAAGCCCCUCCCAGCUAUCAUCUCAUUUAAUCUUCUCAACAACCUGGAGGUGGGUACCAUUAUUAUCUCUGUUUUGAGAAUGAGGAAAUUGAGUUACAGAGAGGUUAAGUAACUCAUCCAAAGUCACGCAGCUUAUGAGAGAUGAAUCUGGAAGGUGCACCAGAAUCAGGCCUACUCCAGACCCUGAGCUCUUAGCCAGUAUAUUUUGCAUCGUCUCUGUGCCUUCCUGCAUCCCUCAUAGACAAAGUUCCCAUGCUCCUGGGGCUGACAGGCCGCUAAGUGAGCAAGUAAAAUAUUAAGUUACACAGUGAACAGAAUAGUCAAAAGAGACAUCUGAGCAGAGGCAGAGGAGGCUGUGAAUGCGGACAGGCUGGUCUGCUUUCCAACCCAGCACAGACACACAUCGCCCCUGUCCUUGAGUUCUUGACCGGGUCUGGCCUCAGCUUCCUCGUCUGUGCAGCGUCCCAUGGCAGGCUGGGAAGGCGACCGGAGAGAAUAUAAGUGAGCCCCGCGGCAGAGUAGGCGCAACGGUGUUGGUGCAGUGCUCUGGAAGGCUCAGGGCCACGUCUCCAAGGUGCCCACCAACCUCCGGGCUCCGUGCUCAGUGCCCUGUGGAUCCGCGCAGCCAGCUCUCCAGAGGCGGGCACAGCGCCCCCAUGCGGCAGACAUGAGGAUCGCUCCCACUUUACAGAUGGGGAGACUAAGACUACGUCCCUGGCGGGAGCACCCCAGCCUGCGGCCACGUGGCUGAUGUCCUAGCCGUGCCCUUCAGCACAGCCUUCCUGUGACUGUGCACCCGGAGGAGCACUCUCAUUCAGCUCGUGAGCCGAGCCUCUUCAUGUGCCAGACGCUGACCGAGGGACCGUAAUUAUAGGGCCCUGGACAGAACAGAAGGAGGACUUGGCCCAGCUGAGCUGAGCAGGGCACCCGGCCCACCUGCAGCGAUGGCCUGACUUCCUGAAGAGUGACCGGACAGGGACAAAGCUCUCAGGCGUAGAAGUCAGGGUCACCCUCCACUCUAUGGCAGGGAUGUUUGAACCCGAAUGAAGUGAGGAGCAGGCCCACAGGAUCUGGGGAGGUCAGGAAGGCAGAGAAAAAAGCAAGCGCCAGCGCCGAGGUCUGCGCUGUGGGAUGCAAGUCUCCACCGCUGCUCGGCGGAGGCCUGGGCUGCG